Molecule: long non-coding RNA, 697 nt
Organism: Ipomoea nil (Japanese morning glory)
Lineage: Eukaryota; Viridiplantae; Streptophyta; Magnoliopsida; Solanales; Convolvulaceae
Exons: 4
Source: RefSeq, a predicted model, not a curated record
UCCUUAUCAGCUGGAAUAGGUUGCAAGCGAAGCUAGUAAUCAACCAAAGUUGCCUGCCUUCUUUACUUCAAAAAUUCCACACCUGCUAUUCUAGAAAAGUGCUCAACUGACCAGGUAAUAUCUAAAGGUGAGACACCAUUGAUGGAAGGCAGCGUCAGUGAGAGUGGUAAUUCUUCUAGAGUAAGGGGUUCUGGUUGAUGAGAUUGAUAAGGGGGAAUUAUGGUUGGUUUUGAAUCCAGCAAUUACUUUGCAGCGAAUAUGCUAACAUUUCUAUUUUUGUAAAAAGUUUCAGUUUGACAUGGAAUUCUUCUUCACAGGAGUUAAGGCUGGAAUGUUUGUAAGAGAUGCUAAGGUUCUUUGUCCUAAACUUGUCAUUCUUUCUUAUGACUUUGAAGCUUAUGAGGAGGUGGCUGACAAGUUUUAUGACAUUUUGCAUAAGCACUGCAAGAAAGUGCAGGCCGUCAGUUGUGAUGAAGCAUUUUUAGACGCCACUGACUCAGGGGUGGAUGACAUUCAAGCAUUUGUCAGACUGAUCAGGAAGGAAAUUGUUGAGAUAACAGGAUGCACUGCAAGUGCCGGUAUUGCUGGAAAUAUGCUUAUGGCCCGUCUUGCUACCCAAACUGCAAAACCUGAUGGACAAUGUUGUAUCCCUCCUGAGUAGCUAAAGUUACGGAGUAUUCGCAUCCUCAACCAAAAG